GAGACAUGAUGAUAGGCCAUUGUACAUCUACUAUAUUCCAUAUUAGAGACAUGAUGACAUAGAGAUAGGCUAUUGAGAUACUUGAUAUAUUCCAUGUUUUAGACAUGAGGACUUGGUACUUGAGACAGAUCAUUGCUUGCUUGCCAUUGUGCUCAUUCGCACAUGCUUGUGAGGGUCACUCCCUACAAGCUGGCACUCCG
Molecule: long non-coding RNA, 200 nt
Filed under: Ananas comosus (pineapple)
Lineage: Eukaryota; Viridiplantae; Streptophyta; Magnoliopsida; Poales; Bromeliaceae
Description: long non-coding RNA (ACOM_LNC014931)
Source: RNAcentral